GCCGAGCUGGACAAGGAGAUGCUCGCCCAGUACGA
This 35-nucleotide small RNA is filed under the name Propionibacterium ruminifibrarum. RNAcentral's name for it is "Propionibacterium sp. JV5 CRISPR_Spacer". The record is from RNAcentral. Lineage: Bacteria; Bacillati; Actinomycetota; Actinomycetes; Propionibacteriales; Propionibacteriaceae.